RNAcentral lists this small nucleolar RNA (64 nucleotides) under Gopherus agassizii (Agassiz's desert tortoise). Lineage: Eukaryota; Metazoa; Chordata; Testudines; Testudinidae. RNAcentral also lists the same sequence under 1 other name. The record is from RNAcentral.
CUCCUCAGUGAGACUCCUACUGCCUCAGUCUGAUCCCCAUGACUGAGUGGUUCCCUCUGAGGCC